GACAGAACACCGGUAGUAACGCCUCCGUGAGGUAGAGGACUUUAAAAUCCUUCACAGUAAAAUGAAAGCAAAAGGAGAGGGACAUUUAGAAUGAGAGAAAUAAUAUUGUAAGAAGCUUGACUUUCUUGCGCAAGACUCUGUGGUGCGAAUCAAGUCUCAGGAUGAGUUCACAAGGUUCUGAAGAUCACAGUGCUGUCAAGAUGCCCCGUGCGUUUGAGCCUUAUAAGAAGCAUAAAAACAUGGGCAAAUGUCUAAUCAUCAGUAAUGAGCACUUCUGCUCACCACAUUUGUGUAGAAAGGGCUGUUCAGUAGAUGAAAACUUCCUGUCGAACACGUUCAAGUCCCUAGGUUUUCAUGUAUAGGUGGAGAAGAACCUGUCAGCUAAUGAAAUGAUUGGUGCAUUGAGGAAAGUAUCUAAGGAGAACCACACAGACAAUUCCUGCUUUGUGUGUGUACUGAUGAGCCAUGGAGAGGAAGGAACAAUCCUUGGAUCGGAUGAGCGCUGGAUGCCUGUCAAAACUCUGACCUCUCUCAUGACCUCUGACCUCUGCC
Sinocyclocheilus rhinocerous is the source of this 552-nucleotide long non-coding RNA. RefSeq lists it as uncharacterized. Lineage: Eukaryota; Metazoa; Chordata; Actinopteri; Cypriniformes; Cyprinidae. The transcript is spliced from 4 exons. The record is from RefSeq and is a predicted model, not a curated record.